AAGUCAACUUUGAAAUUUAGCAUUCUAAAGGCAUGAGGCCUAGUUGCUCUUCAACAAGUUUAGCAUUCUAAAAGCAUGAGGCCUAGUUGCUCUUGAACUCCUUUAAGCAUGGGUAUGUCCUAAUUCUAAGUCCUUUCUCCUUUUUGCAUUAGGUUCACACAAAACAAAAACAAAACAAACUCAAGACAACAAUAUAUUUAUAUACAAUAAUGAGCUCAGAUGAGCAAAAGGCAAAUGACAUAAACAUAAAUAUAUGCUCAAGUGAGCAAAAUGAAAAGCAAUAUGAAUAAAUGAGCAAGAAAUAAAUGGAAUUAAAAGUAAAGG
RNAcentral lists this long non-coding RNA (324 nucleotides) under Lathyrus oleraceus (garden pea). RNAcentral's name for it is "Pisum sativum (pea) long non-coding RNA (PSAT_LNC025352)". Lineage: Eukaryota; Viridiplantae; Streptophyta; Magnoliopsida; Fabales; Fabaceae. The record is from RNAcentral.